ACGAACGCUGGCGGCGUGCUUAACCCCUGCAAGUCGAACGUGAUUUUUGUGGAAAUUCUUUCGGGAAUGGAAAUGAAAUGAAAGUGGCGAACGGGUGAGUAACACGUGAGCAACCUACCUUACACAGGGGGAUAGCCGUUGGAAACGACGAUUAAUACCGCAUGAGACCACAGAAUCGCAUGAUAUAGGGGUCAAAGAUUUAUCGGUGUAAGAAGGGCUCGCGUCUGAUUAGCUAGUUGGAAGGGUAAAGGCCUACCAAGGCGACGAUCAGUAGCCGGUCUGAGAGGAUGAACGGCCACAUUGGAACUGAGACACGGUCCAAACUCCUACGGGAGGCAGCAGUGGGGAAUAUUGCACAAUGGGGGGAACCCUGAUGCAGCGACGCCGCGUGAGCGAAGAAGGUUUUCGAAUCGUAAAGCUCUGUCCUAUGAGAAGAUAAUGACGGUAUCAUAGGAGGAAGCCCCGGCUAAAUACGUG
This 477-nucleotide ribosomal RNA is filed under the name uncultured bacterium. RNAcentral's name for it is "partial 16S ribosomal RNA". It matches the Rfam family "Bacterial small subunit ribosomal RNA", at positions 29 to 507 of the family's 1533-position model. The record is from RNAcentral.